Long non-coding RNA from Olea europaea var. sylvestris, 897 nucleotides. RefSeq lists it as uncharacterized. The record is from RefSeq and is a predicted model, not a curated record. Lineage: Eukaryota; Viridiplantae; Streptophyta; Magnoliopsida; Lamiales; Oleaceae. The transcript is spliced from 2 exons.
GUAAAAUUAAAACAAAAUAGAGGUGGAAACUUAGAAUUAGGGUGCCAAAACACAAUCAUUUGCCUCAACAGAUUCGCAACGGAGCCCUUUUUGCGAUCCCAGCCACGAUCCCGGCAUUGAAGGUCUCACUCCCCCAGUCCAUCUUCUCCACUCCAACCUAUAUUCUCCAUCUCCAAAACCAUAACCGGAUCAUUACAUAGGAUGGAUCACCAAAUAUGGAAGAUGUUUUGUUCGUCGAUUCAAAAAAAUGAGAAUGUUGACGAUAAAGUGAUUGCCCUGGAAGAUGAAACGGUAAGUGGAGUUGGAUUGACUGCGUCUAAGAUUGGUGUGCAGUUCAAGGAAGAAAAGGAAGUGUAUGAUUUUUACGCAAGCUAUGCUUAUGCUAUAGGUUUUUGAGUUAGAAAGAAGAGUUCGAUGAGUGAUGAUGAUGUUGUUUUGAGAUUUUCACGUUAACCUGUAGUCGGAAGGAAAGAAGAAGUGGUAAUACAAGAUAUCCAUGGUUACUGGAAAAUUGGCACCGUUUACCCUGACCACAAUCAUAAGACAAGCCCUACUAAGUCCAUAUUGUAUGGAUGCAACCAAAAAUUGAGUUAACACAUGAAAUGGAAGCUCGAAGUGAAUAAUAUAGCUGGAAUACCAUUGCAUAAAAGAUUUAACUCCGCAGUUGUUGAAGUUCGAAAUAUCUCCUAAGGGAGCUUUGAUGUAAAAAUGUUUAGUGCGAGCACAAAUUUAGUUGGUUAUGAGACUUGAUUAAGUGGAAUUGUAUGGUGUAUUGAUUGAAAAAGUGAUUAUUGCUUAUCACUGUUCCUUAAUUUGAAAUAUUAUGUAUCAUGUUUUGUUUUGUGGAAAAUCAUGUCCUGAGCAGUGUGAUGGAAUAAGAUAGAACCAUUUUAAACU